CAAGCGGUCACUCCUUUCCCGUUUUACUGUUAGGGGAAGGAAGCCACAGCCCAGUGGGGAAGUGACAUCCCUGGCCCUUGCCGUUCACCACUUCAAGUCUUGCCCAGCUGUCAGGGCAGGAAUUCAUGUCCCCACGGUGGCAUCUGCUUCCCAGGCUGUGGGGCCAGCAAGGGGCUCAGCUGCUCCCCAGCCCUGCCUUCCUCCAUGGAUCUGACAUGACUCUUUUAUGGGAAUUUACGUAAAAGUAACGCCUUGCUCAGUGUGGAAAAUUUAGGAGCUUCAGGAAAAUAUAAAGAAAAUUAAGGAAGUCAUCUCGCUUCUCAAAUACCGUGUUAAUUUGGGAGAGCACCUGCCAGGCAGCAGUGUCGCUCAGCUUAUGCGCAGCCAGCUUGGGGACUACAGCAGCUCAUCCUAACAAGAGACCAGAACUUCAGGCUGGUCUGAGGCAUGUGCCCACCUCUGGGUCACACGUCAUUCUUGAAGCAGUGGGCAAGUCAAAUAUCCCCACCCCUCCUGCACAGAAAAGGGGAGGAUCCCAAGAAGAGAAUGUGGGGGCUGCCUCCAGGAGGAGAAGAAAGACUUGUGGGUCCACUGCAGACAUCCAGGUGGAGAUGUCUGGAGCCCAGGGGUCGGGUAAGAGCUACAGCCAGGUUGGGGUUAUUGUGGGAGGAGCCGUAGGAGUGAAUGAGAUCAGGAAAGGAGUGGCCAGGGAGGAGGGGCGACCCAAAGGCCUCCGGUGAUGCGCUGACAGAAGGUAAAAACAAGGAACAAAGCAAAACCACACACAGGACGGCAGCGCGGAGUCCGGGCCCUGCCCUCUGCAGCAGCGCAGCCCGGGGACUCUGGGGCUCUCCCUGCUGCCUGUGGAAUUUCCAGGCCAGCGCAUCUGAUUGGCCUGGCCUGGGGCAGUGGGUGGGGAUUUGGAUGUUUCCAGAGAAGGGAAGAUGGCGGUGAGACAGCCGCUCGGCAGCUCCAGAGGGGUCGAUCCCGCGACAGGGGAAGGGGGCGUGGGCGUCACAUGGCAGCGCUGAGACUUGAGUGCUGGAACAGCCCAGCGAGGAAGGUCCCAAAGACAGCUCUUUUCACCAGAGACAGGCCGUGCGUUUGCGGUGCGGGCUCCACCCGCAGUUCUGCUUCAGGUAGAAAAGGGAUGAGGGUGCCGGGCCAGCUUGACCCGGUUUCCGCAGGGGCAGAAGCACUUCUUACCUUCGGCCUGCAGAGCCCCUCAAGCAACAGGGAACCACAUUCUCCUGCCCUUGGAAAAAGUUGACCCGCUUCACAGUGAAGCCAGAGAGGCGAGGUGGGGGCGGCGGGGGGAUUUGGAUGGGACUUCCAGACGCCUUUCUUCUUCCCAGUGCCUACCUAGGGAUGGGGACGCUAGGACAGCUGAAGCUGGCACAUAUCUGAUCACUGUUCCUCAAGCACCUCUUUGUCCAUGCACCCUCCCUGCCCAACACCUCCAAUGGCCUCUGAGGCUUGGAGAAUGACAUCCAAGCUCUGCUUCCCAAACAGGCCCAAGCCCACCCUCUGCCUCCCAACUCAUCCGACCAUGACCACCAUCUGUCACCCUUUGCAGCCACGCCCUGUGGUGACCACGCCCACAGACGGCCCUGGUGACCUCGCCGACAGAUGGGCACGACCUUGAAUGGCUCUGCUUUUGAUAGUCACGCCCCUUGUAGCCAUGUCCUGUGAUGGCCACACCCACCAAUGAGCAUGCCCUCAGGUGACCACUCUCAGACACCCUGGGAUCCAGCUGCCCUCACACCCCCGGGGCAUGCCUGGGCACACCUGUCCUCUCUUUGGCCCUCCCCUAAAAAGCCCUCCAAAUCCUAAAUCCUUCUUCCAAAUCCUGUUCUGCUGCUUCAGUCUCACCACCUCCUUGAGGCCCCCUGUGACUACCCCAGCUCUCUGGUGUUCACUCGCUUGGUUCCUACGAUACAUUGGAGCACAUUUGCCUUUUUAAAAAUAAGCUGAGCUGUCUCCACAGCUAGAUUU
This 1995-nucleotide long non-coding RNA is filed under the name Homo sapiens (human). RNAcentral describes it as "HSALNT0100838". The record is from RNAcentral. Lineage: Eukaryota; Metazoa; Chordata; Mammalia; Primates; Hominidae.